AGCGAACGCUGGCGGCAGGCCUAAAACAUGCAAGUCGAACGGAUCCUUCGGGAUUAGUGGCGGACGGGUGAGUAACACGUGGGAACGUGCCUUUUGGUUCGGAACAACUCAGGGAAACUUGAGCUAAUACCGGAUGUGCCCUUCGGGGAAAGAUUUAUCGCCAUUAGAGCGGCCCGCGUCUGAUUAGCUUGUUGGUGGGGUAAUGGCCCACCAAGGCGACGAUCAGUAGCUGGUCUGAGAGGAUGAUCAGCCACACUGGGACUGAGACACGGCCCAGACUCCUACGGGAGGCAGCAGUUAGGAAUCUUGCGCAAUGGGGGAAACCCUGACGCAGCCAUGCCGCGUGAAUGAUGAAGGUCUUAGGAUUGUAAAAUUCUUUCAGCGGGGACGAUAAUGACGGUACCCGCAGAAGAAGCCCCGGCUAACUUCGUGCCAGCAGCCGCGGUAAU
This 449-nucleotide ribosomal RNA is filed under the name uncultured bacterium. Its description in RNAcentral is "bacterial SSU rRNA". It matches the Rfam family "Bacterial small subunit ribosomal RNA", at positions 29 to 524 of the family's 1533-position model. The record is from RNAcentral.